AACGAACGCUGGCGGCAUGCCUAACACAUGCAAGUCGAACGAGACCUUCGGGUCUAGUGGCGCACGUGUGCGUAACGCGUGGGAACCUGCCCUUAGGUUCGGAAUAACUCCCCGAAAGGGGUGCUAAUACCGGAUAAUGUCUUCGGACCAAAGAUUUAUCGCCUUUGGAUGGGCCCGCGUUGGAUUAGCUAGUUGGUAGGGUAAAAGCCUACCAAGGCGACGAUCCAUAGCCGGUCUGAGAGGAUGAUCAGCCACACUGGGACUGAGACACGGCCCAGACUCCUACGGGAGGCAGCAGUGGGGAAUAUUGGACGAUGGGCGAAAGCCUGAUCCAGCAAUGCCGCGUGAGUGAUGAAGGCCUUAGGGUUGUAAAGCUCUUUUACCCGGGAUGAUAAUGACAGUACCGGGAGAAUAAGCUCCGGCUAACUCCGUG
This 433-nucleotide ribosomal RNA is filed under the name uncultured bacterium. Its description in RNAcentral is "partial 16S ribosomal RNA". It matches the Rfam family "Bacterial small subunit ribosomal RNA", at positions 29 to 507 of the family's 1533-position model. The record is from RNAcentral.